GAUAAACGCUGGCGGCGUGCCUUAUGCAUGCAAGUCGAACGGGUCUUACCCGCAAGGGUAAGAUCAGUGGCAGACGGCUGAGUAACACGUAAGCAACUAACCUUCGAGUGGGGAUAAACCGCCGAAAGGCGGCGUAAUACCGCAUGUGCUUGCUCCCUCUAUGGGGAGUAAGGAAAGCCGAAAGGCGCUCUUGGACGGGCUUGCGGCCUAUCAGGUAGUUGGUGAGGUAACGGCCCACCAAGCCGAAGACGGGUAACUGGUCUGAGAGGACGGCCAGUCAGACGGGGACUGAGACACGGCCCCGACUCCUACGGGAGGCAGCAGCAGGGAAUCUUGCACAAUGGGCGAAAGCUUGAUGCAGCGACGCCGCGU
This 372-nucleotide ribosomal RNA is filed under the name uncultured bacterium. RNAcentral's name for it is "bacterial SSU rRNA". It matches the Rfam family "Bacterial small subunit ribosomal RNA", at positions 28 to 402 of the family's 1533-position model. The record is from RNAcentral.